AAGUAACGCUAGCUAUAUGCUUAACACAUGCAAGUCGAACGUUGUUUUCGGGCGCGCUUGUCUCGCCUUGAGAACAAAGUGGCGAACGGGUGAGUAACACGUGAGCAACCUGCCCCUGACUCUGGGAUAAGCGCUGGAAACGGUGUCUAAUACUGGAUAUGUGAUGUGACCGCAUGGUCUGCGUCUGGAAAGAUUUUCGGUUGGGGAUGGGCUCGCGGCCUAUCAGCUUGUUGGUGAGGUAAUGGCUCACCAAGGCGUCGACGGGUAGCCGGCCUGAGAGGGUGACCGGCCACACUGGGACUGAGACACGGCCCAGACUCCUACGGGAGGCAGCAGUGGGGAAUAUUGCACAAUGGGCGGAAGCCUGAUGCAGCAACGCCGCGUGGGGGAUGACGGCCUUCGGGUUGUAAACCUCUUUUAGCAGGGAAGAAGCGUGAGUGACGGUACCUGCAGAAAAAGCGCCGGCUAACUACGUGCCAGCAGCCGCAGUAAUAC
Molecule: ribosomal RNA, 495 nt
Filed under: uncultured bacterium
Lineage: Bacteria
Description: bacterial SSU rRNA
Rfam family: Bacterial small subunit ribosomal RNA
Source: RNAcentral